UACAGAGGUCCCGAGCGUUGUUCGGAUUCACUGGGCGUAAAGGGUGCGUAGGUGGUGAGGUAAGUCGGAUGUGAAAUCUCGAGGCUUAACCUCGAGCUGUCGGCGGAAACCAUCUGGCUAGAGUCCGGAAGAGGAGAAUGGAAUUCCCGGUGUAGCGGUGAAAUGCGCAGAUAUCGGGAAGAACACCCGUGGCGAAGGCGGUUCUCUGGGACGGUACUGACGCUGAGACGCGAAAGCGUGGGGAGCGAACAGG
This 253-nucleotide ribosomal RNA is filed under the name uncultured bacterium. Its description in RNAcentral is "partial 16S ribosomal RNA". It matches the Rfam family "Bacterial small subunit ribosomal RNA", at positions 524 to 776 of the family's 1533-position model. The record is from RNAcentral.